This 1170-nucleotide long non-coding RNA is filed under the name Sus scrofa (pig). The record is from RNAcentral. Lineage: Eukaryota; Metazoa; Chordata; Mammalia; Artiodactyla; Suidae.
CAGGAUUUGAAUUCCGCUGAGAAAGAGACGCGGGACCCAGACUAAAGGAGAGGAGACGUGGCCUCGUUUUGCGGCAAGUGGAAUGCUGUCUGUCUCCUGGAUAGAAAUUCCUCCACUCACAGCUGGCCUCCCCUGCGGUCAGAACUUGCCCUGCUAAGCUCCCAGCACACCAGCAAGCAGACCAGGAUUGGAAGCAGGCAUGCCAUGAUGUCCUAAAGGUAAAUGCUAGAAUCUUCUCUCUCCAGGAGUUCCCGUUGUGGCUCAGCGGGGUAAGAACUCAACGUAGAGACCGUGAGGAUUCGGGUUUGGUCCCUGGCCUCUCUCAGUGGGUGAAGAUCCAACAUUGCCGUGAGCCGCAGUGUGGGUCACAUAUGCCACUUGGAUCCAGUGUUGCUGUGGCUGUGCUGUAGACUGGCAGCUGCAGCUCUGAUUCGACCCCUAACCUGGGGAACUUCCAUAUGGCACGGGUGUGGCUGUAAAAAAAAACAAAACAAAACACAAACUUAUCUCUCCAAACACAAGAGAGAACAGAAGAUAUACUAGAUACACUAGAACUUACUGGAAGAUACGCUGAAGUUCUGCCCCACCCUCAUGAAAACCGGUGUUUCUCUUUUAACCAUAAACUCUUAGAAUUCUUAUUUCGAGGGUCAAGCUGUCAACUUUCGAGGGUCACCUUUUCCCGUCUCUUUUCCUGGUGCGGUUCCAGGUUGACAGGAGAAGCUUUGCUUGUUAAGUGCCCAGUAAUUAUUUCAUCAGAAGGCUCUUGAGAGAGAGAACCUGUUACCUCUACUCGGGAGGGUGCCCCUUCCACAAAAGUUCAAACUCAUCACACAAGGAAUGGGAAACGUCACCAAUGCAGCGAUUUGAAUUUGGCAGAAGCACAAACCCUCUUAAGAUACUAGAUUUUCCAGUUGCAUCGCCUCACAGAAUGGGAUUCGCCAGAUUUGGAGAGAGGAGCAUGUUUUGGUAUCUAUAAACCGUGUCCUGUUCAGAGAAGUGGCAGUACUGGGUUAGGCAGAAACGUAACACGUGUGAGGCUCAGGUUUCGAACCUCUGCUGCCGAGAGGAUGUAUCAUCUUGGCCAAGGUCUCUGCGCCUUGGUUUUCUUUAAUGCGAGUAUAUCAAAGCCCGCUACUCGGUGCCUCUCCUUAGAUGCCAUGCGAAAACAGC